ACCUCUUUAACUCAGUGGUAGAGCACUGGUUUCGUAAACCAGGGGUCGUGAGUUCAUACCUCACAGGAGGCA
RNAcentral lists this transfer RNA (72 nucleotides) under Trachymyrmex cornetzi. It matches the Rfam family "tRNA". Rfam says of the family: Transfer RNA (tRNA) molecules are approximately 80 nucleotides in length. Their secondary structure includes four short double-helical elements and three loops (D, anti-codon, and T loops). The record is from Rfam by way of RNAcentral. Lineage: Eukaryota; Metazoa; Arthropoda; Insecta; Hymenoptera; Formicidae.